Molecule: long non-coding RNA, 2335 nt
Organism: Callithrix jacchus (white-tufted-ear marmoset)
Lineage: Eukaryota; Metazoa; Chordata; Mammalia; Primates; Cebidae
Source: Ensembl
UUUUUUUUUUAAGCCGAUAAUUAGAAGAAAAGAACGAAGGUGGCAUGGAGGGACCCUAGAGGUCAAAACAUAGAGCUUGUAGGAAAGUCCUCUUUGGAGAUCUGAAACGGACAUGUUUCUCUCUUACAUGUUUAAAUUCAGCACUAGGUUCAUUCAGGGGCUUGCCUCUUAAAAGAGUUGAACUGUACUCUGAGGGAGGAGGAGGAAGAAAUGUAUGGGAGCUGACAUUAAGAGGGAUGGAGUUCAGCGGCAUGAUCUCGGCUGACUGCAACCUCCGCCUCCCAGGUCCAAGUGAAUCUUAUGCCUCAGCCCCCCAAGAAGCUGGUAUUACAACCAUGCACCAUGACAUGAGGCUAAUUUUUGUAUUUUUAGUUUAGAUAGGGUUCUACCAUGUUUGCUGGUUUCUUAAAUAGUUAAAUAUAGAAUUCACAUAGGAGCCAGUAAUUUCACCCUCAAGUACAUACACAAAAGAAUUGAAGAGAUACUAAAAAAAUACAUGUAUACAUAUGUUCACAGCAGCAACAUUCACAAGAGCCAAAAAAUGAAAAUAAUCCAAACCUCUAUCAGCAGAGGAAUGGAUAAACAAAUUAUGAUACAUACAUAAAACAGAACAUUACUCAAGCAUAAAAUGGAAUGAAAUCCCAAUAUAUUACAGUAUGAAUGAAACUUCACUAUAUUACACUAAGUUGAAAGAAGCCAGAUACAAAAGGUUGCAUGUUAUAUGAUUCAUUUACAUGAAAUCUCUAGAAUAGUUAGGUCCAUGGAGACAGAAAGCAAAUGUUUUGCCAAGGGCUGGAGAGAGAGAGAGGGGAAUAAGAAGUAACUGCUUAAUGAGUAUGGGAUGUUCUUUUGGGGCAAUAAAAAUAUUUUGGAGGUAGAUAGAUGUGGUGGUUUUACAACAUUGUGAUUGUACCAAAUACCACUGAAUUUUUCACUUUAAAAUAAUUGAUUUCAUGUUAUAUGAAUCUUACUUCAAUUUUUAAAAAGCCUCUUACUAUUGGGUACACAUCUUUUUCUCACUUUGUAAAAUUGGCUCCAAUUUUUCUAGGAACACAAUAUGGCACAAAGACUAACGUACUUAUUUAACAGAAAGUACUUAAAAAACAACAGAAAUAUUGCCAGAGAUUUGGAGAAAAAAGAAAUUAAGACAAAUUGCAUUGUACCAGAGGUUUUCUGUUGAAAGAAAGAACAGAUGUUUCUAACAUGUCUCAGGUUAUGAUUUUGGUAGAUGAACUGCCUCAAUAAUAAAACAACAAAGAUGAACUUUGUUGGUGUGGUCAAUAAAAGCAAGAUGUACUGGAAACAAUUUAAAACAGUGUUUAAUAAAAAUGAUGAUUAUUGGCAAAACAGUCAAACUGUUUUAGUGUGCCUGUUAUGAAGUCAAUAAAGAAAAAGAAAGAUUCUCAGGUUACAUUGAGAAAUAUUAUAUGAAAUAUUCAUUCACCAAAUUAUUCACAAAGAAACCAUUGCAGUUAAAUAGUAGUAGAUAAAAGGUACAAGGAUGUCAUUAAUGAGAAUAACGCUACUUUUAAAAUAUAUUUAAAUAUAGUAAACUAUAAUAAACCAUCUCUUUCUCUCGUUUGCUUGCAAUGUAUGCAAAACAAUCAUUUUUGGUCUUCCGAAUAUGGAGGGAUAAUAAAACAAUAGGCCACCUGUUUUUAUAAAGUUUUAUUUGAACAUACAGAAAAUACACUUGAUAUGAUAGUUCAUAAAAUAGGAAGUAGCAAAGUAUUUAAGAGAGUGAUGAGUGUGAUGAAAAUUAUACUUUUCUGUUAUCACUCACCAAUCAUCUCAAACUUAGUAAACUUUUUUGAUGAUAAGUAGUUGUCAGUACUCUUUAACCUAAUACAUUUUAAAUCAAUUUUAACAUAUUGGAAUAUCCCUUCAAGGUUAAAAGGACAUUUAAAAAUAACUAAGAAAGCGAUAGCUUUUUAAUAGAGAGUUAUACUAUGAGGAGAGCAUUUUGAGAACAGACUUUAGAAAAUGUUUCUGCUGUUAUGAAAUGUUAAUUGCCCAAACUACAUGUAACUUAUGGUAUUCUCAUAUUGGCUUUUCCCAAAAAAUGGAAAGUGAUUUUUUACCUAUCUAAAUCUUUCAAAUAAAUAUUUUUAGUGGAUUGGAAGUCAUUUAAAAAAUAUAUAGACUCAAAACUUUCUAAAAUUUGUAAGAUUAUUUCCACUUUUAAGCAAAAUGAUUAGGUAAUGAAAGACUGAGGAGUGGCGAUCAUGAUUGAUUAUGGAGACUAGACCUUGUCCACUUACAACCAUUGAAAUCAAGGUAAACUAAAUGUGGAACUGUAUCUUUGAUGUUUUAUAUAUCAACGUGUAAAGUCAAG